CUCCGAUGGCAGCUCUCUCUGCUGCCUACUGCCAAGAAGUAGGUCAAAAACCUAUUUUUGUCUCUAUUCUUCCGCAGCCAGAUUACAGUCCUUGCACCCUUGUGGAGGAGGGGAAGCCGCUGUAUCGUGGCUGUGAGGCCAGACGCACCUGGCACGGUACGGGGAUGAGUAGGGCCACCUCCCCUGGGCUCCCUCUGCUGUCGGUGGCACCUCCCUGCUGGCGGCGGAGGGAACCGGGGGGAACUCAGCGCUAGCAUUACUCUGCGGUUAAGCGGGUAGGGUGAAUUUGGGCCAAAGCACGAGCAGCGUGCCAACCUCAUGCAGGAAGUGUGUAUCCAGGUAGGGUGAAUUUGGGCCAAAGCACAAGCAGCGUGCCAACCUCACGCAGGAAGUGUGUAUCCAACUAGGGCAGAAGGUUUUUGGGUUUGACCCAGAUCCCAGCAGCGUGGUUUGGCCUCGUCACGCUUGUACGGGUGCAGCCACGGAGGUGGCGAACGGGGCAUGCAGCAGGAGCAGCAACUAGGGGGUGAAACACAGGGAUAUGCAUCAUAAGGGCACAUUUGCUACUCCUAGGCUGAUAGCUACCUGUUCCUGCCUCUGUCCCCCAUGGGCUGAUGAUUUUAUCAGCUCUGCUUGCUAAUAUCCUUCUUUCCUCCCCACGUACCAACAACCCUUUUUUCUCAAAUUGUCCAGUUGAUUAACAUAAUUAAGUUAAACUCAGCAACUGUUUUCAACUUGCACUUACUUUGAAGUUAGCUAGAGGACACGUCAGCAAGCUGCCCCAAUUUUCCAGCUGGAAAUUAGAAAAAAAUAAAUAAUAAUAAAUUAAGCCAAAGAUACUAUCUCUCCUUAUAGACUUGCCUCAUUUGUAUCUUUGUCUUGAAUGCCAAACGUUCUUCUCAUUGACUCACCCCACUCCUGUUCACGCAAAGUGAAGAUAGGUACAUGGCUUUUGCCGUUCUGGAUUCCUGUGAGCUUUGGGAGAGGAGCGAUCCUGCUAUCUGGAAGGCUGCGUUUUGCCAGUGGUCUACAAAACACCGUUCUCAAAUGUCCGCACCGUCUGGGGACCUGGCAUCCAGCUUACGGAUGGGGAUUCACCCUGGCAGCAGCCAAGUCCCUGAGGAGAAGGAGGGAUGAAGCAAAGUCUGCUACUUCUUCUGCUACUUGCCAUGGUGAAACAGAUGUUCCUUGCAUGUGUUGAUGUGGACCUUGCCUCUGUGUGUGUAUUAAGUGCCCUCUGACUACUAACGCCUGGUUUUCUGGGCCUGUAAUUAAGAAAUAGUGAAUUCUUCCAACGUUUUCCAGCAGCCAGCCUAACAGCUAAUUUUAAGAAAUAUGGAAUCAGCUGCUGUACCUCUGAACCUCUGGAGCACAUCUCUGGAGACAGCACUAUACUACAGUCAUAAUUUCAAGCAGAAAAACAAUAGCGGUGCCCCUGUAUGCCAGGAAGAGGUCUUUAACGCGGUGAGGCUGUGACCAACCCCUCUGCUGGACAGAAGACUGCAUAUCAGUUACAAAG
RNAcentral lists this long non-coding RNA (1519 nucleotides) under Struthio camelus australis. Its description in RNAcentral is "lncRNA (ENSSCUG00000010741.1)". The record is from RNAcentral. Lineage: Eukaryota; Metazoa; Chordata; Aves; Struthioniformes; Struthionidae.